UUCCAUGCUGUGGAAGCUUUCUUCUUUCACUCUUCACAAUAAAUCUUGCUGCUGCUCACUCCUUGGGUCUGCACUACCUUUAUGAGCUGGAACACUUACCACGAUGGUCUGUGGUUUUGCUCCUAAAAUAAGGGAGACUACGAACCCACUGGAAGGAAGAAACUGUGGACACAUCUGAAGGAACAAACUCUGGACACACCAUCUUUAAGAACUGUAACACUCACUGCUAGGGUCUGCGGCUUCAUUCUUGAAGUCAGCGAGACCAAGAACCCACUGGAAGGAACCAAUUCUGGACACACCACGGCUAUCAGACUGUUCUCAGCCUGGGGAUCCAGCAUUUGUGAAAAUCACAGAAGAUCAUAUGAGAAGGCACCAUUUUAAUGAAAGAACAAGAAACCUGAAAUUCAAUAACAAAGCCUGAAGGCUAGAAAAGGUUAUGAAAUAGCCCAUGAUAAGCACAGGUGGAAAAUUGACACAAAGAGUUUUCUGCUAUGCCAAAUAAAUUUUGUUGUCUUUGUGUGUGUGUAUGCUGCGUAUCUUAAAACCAUAACAUUUUCACUGACAUUGAAUCAUCCUCCUCAGUAACUGAGGGAAACUUCCUUGGGAACCCACCUUAAAUUUUACCAUCUUUGGCAGCUUUUGAAAUGACUCUAUCUUCAAAUUCUUGAAUUUCCACAUUCUCUUCUCUGACUUUACCUUUGAUUAUUUUGCUCUCAGUAAAUCUGCAUCUCAGUCUUCCUCUUCUCAGUUCUAUCCUAGUGUACCAGCCCAUUAACCCCUGUUUGAUUUUAUUUGGCUCUCUUCCUCCAUGGGGCUACACGUAAGCCUCAUGCUCAUUGUAGUCCCUGUCUCUCUUCAACACUGGUAUCUUACCACCUCUCCAUAACUUCCCACUAUUUCUUUCUUGCCAAUCAUCAACCCUGUGUAAUAUCUACUGUCUUAUUUUCUUUGACGCUAGAAAUCAAGGCCCUGAUGGUCAAAGGCAUUAAACAAUCUAUGGGUUUGCCAUAAGUGCAUUAUGUGGUUUAUUAUUUUGCAGAUAUUUAAUGUGGUACAUGAUAAAAUGUUACUUUUUCUACUAAUCUUAUUUAUGUAGCCGAAAAUCUAGAAAAAUGUUUUUCUU
This 1123-nucleotide long non-coding RNA is filed under the name Homo sapiens (human). Its description in RNAcentral is "HSALNT0037390". Lineage: Eukaryota; Metazoa; Chordata; Mammalia; Primates; Hominidae. The record is from RNAcentral.